CCAAUAGCGUAUAUUAAAGUUGUUGCAGUUAAAAAGCUCGUAGUUGAAUUUCGGGAUCAAUUUACUGGUCGUGCUAUUGUACGCACUGGUUUUAUUGAUUUCUACCUUCUGACGAACCAUGAUGCCAUUAAUUUGGUGUUAUGGGGAAUCAGGACUGUUACUUUGAAAAAAUUAGAGUGUUUAAAGCAGGCUCACGCUUGAAUACAUUAGCAUGGAAUAAUGAAAUAGGACGUUUGAUUCUAUUUUGUUGGUUUCUAGGAUCGACGUAAUGAUUAAUAGGGAUAGUUGGGGGCAUUAGUAUUCAAUUGUCAGAGGUGAAAUUCUUGGAUUUAUUGAAGACUAACUACUGCGAAAGCAUUUGCCAAGGAUGUUUUCAUUAAUCAAGAACGAAAGUUAGGGGAUCGAAGACGAUCAGAUACCGUCGUAGUCUUAACCAUAAACUAUGCCGACUAGGGAUCGGAUGAUGUUAAUUUUUUAAUGACUCAUUCGGCGCCUUACG
Molecule: ribosomal RNA, 499 nt
Filed under: uncultured Glomeromycotina
Lineage: Eukaryota; Fungi; Glomeromycota
Description: partial small subunit ribosomal RNA
Rfam family: Eukaryotic small subunit ribosomal RNA
Source: RNAcentral